Molecule: long non-coding RNA, 1138 nt
Filed under: Pan troglodytes (chimpanzee)
Lineage: Eukaryota; Metazoa; Chordata; Mammalia; Primates; Hominidae
Description: lincRNA
Source: RNAcentral
UGAACGCCGGGUGAGCUACCCGGAUGGCUCUUCCGGUUCUUUGUGCGGCCUUCACCCAGUGAGGGAGCCUGUGCCCCCCUGCCCAGUCGCUUUCGGGGCGCUGAGGAGCUUCCGCUGCCAUCUUCGGAUGCCGUGUCCCGCACGGAGGGUCCACCAGGGCAGGGAUAGUGGUUCAAACAAUACAGAAGUGUAUAAAGUAAGAAUUGAAAGUCUCUUCGCUGCUCUAAUCUCACUCCUCAGAGGUGAUCACUGGACCUGAGUGAGCAGAAGGCUUUUCAGAACAGCCUGAACUAUUUCUUGAGCAGUUUGGGAACUCAUUUCUAAAGCAGUCCUCGGAUUCACACAACAUAGUUUGUGACGGAGUAUGCCCAGAGCAGUGUGGAAGAUGAUCAAAGUAUGACGUUUCUUCUACCCCAGAGGUUGGCAUUUCUGCAGGCACAAAUGAGCUUGGUUUUCAAGCACCAGUCUUUGAGCACAAGGAAUUCCUUUAAUGAUCACGGGCUAGAUAGACUUUGGAAUCAGACUCUUUGAAUUCCAGCUCUGCCAUUUACCAACUUUGACACUUUGGAUAGGGUCUCAUUCUGUCAGCCAGGCUGGAGUGCAGUGGCACUAUUAUAGCUCACUGCAGCCUCAAAUGCCUGGGCUCAGGCAGUCUUCCCACCUCUGCCUCCUGAGUAGUUGGGACUACAGGCAUGUGCCACCAAGCCCAGCCAAUUUUUCAGUUUUAAAUUUUUUGUAGAGAUGGGGGUCUUGCUAUGUCACCCAGGCUGGUCUUGAACACCUGGCCUCAAGUGAUCCUCCGGCCUCGCUCUCUCAAAGCUCUGGGAUUACAGACAUGAGCCACUGCACCUGGCUCUGUCUCCCCUUCCUAUGUGUGUUGGCUCUAGAACAAGAGAAGCCUUGUUGAGAUUCAUGGCUGCCCCUUGCACCCCAUCACCUCUCUGACUUUGGGCAAGUUGCCUGGUCUCUCUCAGCCUUUAUUUUCUUUUUGUGAAAUGGGGAUAAUAAUAGUACUUGCCUCAUAGGCAAAAUGUUGUGAGAACUAAAUGAGAAAAUACAUGUAAAGCUCUUGGCACUUAGGUCUUUUUAUGAUUAUGAUGAUAAUCACACAUAAUAAAUUAUUUCUCACAUCACAUGC